RNAcentral lists this unclassified non-coding RNA (508 nucleotides) under Hevea brasiliensis (rubber tree). Lineage: Eukaryota; Viridiplantae; Streptophyta; Magnoliopsida; Malpighiales; Euphorbiaceae. The record is from RNAcentral.
GUAUACAGAAGUAAAGAGGAUAUAAGAAAUAAUAAGAAAAACAUAACAUAACAUACCAAAGAGGGGCAACAGCUAUAACCAACUAAUGUGAUAACUGAAGUGCAGUAAAUAGUAAGGACUAACAACAUUACAACAGUGUUAGAUAAGCCAACUAUGAGACAAAUGCUACCUCCUACUACCGGUAAAAUAAAUAAAAAUCAGGUAACAGAUACAAUGCACCAAUCUAUCCUAACGGGAAAUACGACAACGCUCAACCAACUUCUAACUUUCUACCCUAAUCCACAACAUCUAUAACUUCCUACCCUAUCUAAGAUCAUGUCCUCGGAAAGUUGGAUCUACAUCAUCUCCUGGCAAAUCACCUCUCUCCAAUACUUCUUCGUCCUACCUCUACCUCUCCUAAAAACCCACAAUCUUUCACACCUCCUCAUUGGCGCCUCUGCGCACCUCCUCUUCUCUAUAUUUACUCAAAUGCUGGCUCUAGCUUCAUAAAUCUGUUUUUUGUUUUUGU